This 162-nucleotide small nuclear RNA is filed under the name Catagonus wagneri (Chacoan peccary). Its description in RNAcentral is "U1 spliceosomal RNA (ENSCWAG00000014633.1)". It matches the Rfam family "U1 spliceosomal RNA". From Rfam's summary of the family: U1 is a small nuclear RNA (snRNA) component of the spliceosome (involved in pre-mRNA splicing). Its 5' end forms complementary base pairs with the 5' splice junction, thus defining the 5' donor site of an intron. There are significant differences in sequence and secondary structure between metazoan and yeast U1 snRNAs, the latter being much longer (568 nucleotides as compared to 164 nucleotides in human). The record is from Rfam by way of RNAcentral. Lineage: Eukaryota; Metazoa; Chordata; Mammalia; Artiodactyla; Tayassuidae.
AUACUGACCAGCAAGGGAAGACCCCAGGAUCAUUAAGGUGGUUUUCUUAAGGCGAGGCUUAUCCACUGCACUCCAGAUGUGCUAACCCCUGCAAUUUCCUCAAAUGUGGGAAGCUUGACUGCAUAGUCUGUGGUAGUGGCAAACUGUGUCCAUGUUCUCCCC